This 450-nucleotide ribosomal RNA is filed under the name uncultured bacterium. Its description in RNAcentral is "SSU rRNA". It matches the Rfam family "Bacterial small subunit ribosomal RNA", at positions 26 to 518 of the family's 1533-position model. The record is from RNAcentral.
AGGAUGAACGCUGGCGGUCUGCUUAACACAUGCAAGUCGAACGGAGUACCUCGGUACUUAGUGGCGGACGGGUGAGUAACGCGUGAGAAUCUGCCCUUAGGUCGGGGACAACCAUUGGAAACGAUGGCUAAUACCGGAUAAGCCGAGAGGUAAAAGAUUAAUUGCCUAGGGAAGAGCUCGCGUCUGAUUAGCUAGUUGGUGAGGUAAAGGCUCACCAAGGCAUCGAUCAGUAGCUGGUCUGAGAGGAUGAUCAGCCACACUGGGACUGAGACACGGCCCAGACUCCUACGGGAGGCAGCAGUGGGGAAUUUUCCGCAAUGGGCGAAAGCCUGACGGAGCAAGACCGCGUGAGGGAUGAAGGCCUUUGGGUUGUAAACCUCUUUUAUCAAGGAGGAAGUUCUGACGUGUACUUGAUGAAUAAGCAUCGGCUAACUCCGUGCCAGCAGCCGC